GAUAAACGCUGGCGGCGCACAUAAGACAUGCAAGUCGAACGGACUUAACCAUUAGUUUACUAUUGGAGCGGUUAGUGGCGGACUGGUGAGUAACGCGUAAGCAAUCUGCCUAUCAGAGGGGAAUAACAGUGAGAAAUCACUGCUAAUACCGCAUAAGCUGUGAGUAUCGCAUGAUACAAAUAGAAAGGAGCAAUCCGCUGAUAGAUGAGCUUGCGUCUGAUUAGUUAGUUGGUGAGGUAACGGCCCACCAAGACGAUGAUCAGUAGCCGGACUGAGAGGUUGAACGGCCACAUUGGGACUGAGAUACGGCCCAG
Molecule: ribosomal RNA, 314 nt
Filed under: uncultured bacterium
Lineage: Bacteria
Description: bacterial SSU rRNA
Rfam family: Bacterial small subunit ribosomal RNA
Source: RNAcentral